RNAcentral lists this transfer RNA (76 nucleotides) under Candidatus Cloacimonadota bacterium. RNAcentral describes it as "Candidatus Cloacimonetes bacterium (marine metagenome) tRNA-Thr". It matches the Rfam family "tRNA". Rfam says of the family: Transfer RNA (tRNA) molecules are approximately 80 nucleotides in length. Their secondary structure includes four short double-helical elements and three loops (D, anti-codon, and T loops). The record is from RNAcentral. Lineage: Bacteria; Pseudomonadati; Candidatus Cloacimonadota.
GCCGGGAUGGCUCAGUUGGUAGAGCAAUCGAUUCGUAAUCGAUAGGUCGGGAGUUCGAAUCUCCCUUCCGGCACCA